AUUGAACGCUGGCGGCAUGCCUUACACAUGCAAGUCGAACGGUAACAGGUCUUCGGAUGCUGACGAGUGGCGAACGGGUGAGUAAUACAUCGGAACGUGCCCGAGAGUGGGGGAUAACGAAGCGAAAGCUUUGCUAAUACCGCAUACGAUCUCAGGAUGAAAGCAGGGGACCGCAAGGCCUUGCGCUCACGGAGCGGCCGAUGGCAGAUUAGGUAGUUGGUGGGAUAAAAGCUUACCAAGCCGACGAUCUGUAGCUGGUCUGAGAGGACGACCAGCCACACUGGGACUGAGACACGGCCCAGACUCCUACGGGAGGCAGCAGUGGGGAAUUUUGGACAAUGGGCGCAAGCCUGAUCCAGCCAUGCCGCGUGCAGGAUGAAGGCCUUCGGGUUGUAAACUGCUUUUGUACGGAACGAAAAGACUCUGGUUAAUACCUGGGGUCCAUGACGGUACCGUAAGAAUAAGCACCGGCUAACUACGUGCCAGCAGCCGCGGUAAUACGUAGGGUGCAAGCGUUAAUCGGAAUUACUGGGCGUAAAGCGUGCGCAGGCGGUGAUGUAAGACGGAUGUGAAAUCCCCGGGCUCAACCUGGGAACUGCAUUCGUGACUGCAUCGCUGGAGUGCGGCAGAGGGGGAUGGAAUUCCGCGUGUAGCAGUGAAAUGCGUAGAUAUGCGGAGGAACACCGAUGGCGAAGGCAAUCCCCUGGGCCUGCACUGACGCUCAUGCACGAAAGCGUGGGGAGCAAA
RNAcentral lists this ribosomal RNA (747 nucleotides) under uncultured bacterium. RNAcentral describes it as "bacterial SSU rRNA". It matches the Rfam family "Bacterial small subunit ribosomal RNA", at positions 28 to 772 of the family's 1533-position model. The record is from RNAcentral.